CUGAGGAUCAAGCACAUCGCGGGAAUUUUAUUGUUCUACUGUGUUAGUGCUGCAGAUAAAGGGGAGAGCAUCUGGGAAAAUCAUGUCUACUUCAGUAGAUUAUGAAGAAGUUUUUUAUCAAGAGAAGCUCCUGCUAAACGGUCUCCCGCGAUGUGUCCUCUUUGGAAGUCUGACAAGUCACCCAAUUCACUGACCUCUUGUACUAACUGCUGCUGAACAUAACUUGUACUACACGGCCAUACAACCUAGAGAAUAAAGACAUAGCUAAGCAAAAUA
Long non-coding RNA from Bombina bombina (fire-bellied toad), 276 nucleotides. RefSeq lists it as uncharacterized. Lineage: Eukaryota; Metazoa; Chordata; Amphibia; Anura; Bombinatoridae. The transcript has 2 exons. The record is from RefSeq and is a predicted model, not a curated record.